CACAGUGUCUUCCUGUAUGUGGUGGCUAAAGGACAUGGAAAAAGGAUGAGGAGAGCAGAGGAGAUAAUGGAUGGUGUGCGAUCUGUUUGGCCUCCUGAUGCUGAUGGAUGCCUGUGGCACUUUCCUGCCUCAUAAUGCAUAAACACACACACACACACACACACACAGGAACACAGUCAUACAUACACAGGCGCAUCCCUGUCUCUGCAUCUCUCUCACUUUUUCUCAGUCUUUUGGGAAAGUCACUUCCAGGAGACAUAUUUCUGUCCUCCUGUACAGACAGUGAAGAGGAGAGCUAGUGUCUGUACUCAGUGGGGUUUUCCUGUUUGCUGUGCUGCCUCCAUUUACUUGUCACCUGCGGCAGGCUAGACUUAACAAGCAUCCUCAGUCUCAACAAGAGAACUACCUGCUGGGACAUCACAAGCAUCAGAGCCUUACCUGAUUGCGCUAUAUUUGAAGCCAUGGAACAAGCAGAGAAUAAAACCACCUCGCCACAAAAGCAGAAUCGGUCCAAAAAUCGAUCCAAAUCGACAGAUGAGGUGCAGCAAGCAAAAAAGGCCUUUCACACACCACAGAAGUCUCUUCCAGCUAAACCAGAGACGGAGAAGUUGGAGGCGGACACCGAGGAGCUUAGCGCUUCAACCGAGGAGCUAAAAUAAUGGCAUCACUCAGACUGGGGUUACAGGAAAAUUUACAUAAAUCUACAAAAUGCAUCUUGUUUAUACCACUGAUACCACUAAUACCAUGUCUUCUGCCAUAAGAUGUGUAUUCUUGCAUUAUUCAUUAGUCAGUCAAAACAAUAAAACAUAUCACAAUUCUGUUGAAAACAGCGAAAAGUUUGAAGGGAUUUUUCCCCCUAACGCAGAUCUUAGCCCUAGUCUAAAAUUGUUGAGGCAUGAACCCUGGAUUUUAUUUAUUUAUGACGAUGAGUAAACAAUCAUCAGUGGAUCCUGUCAAAUGUUUGUCUGUAAUAUAAACUGCAUAAAUUCUAUGCUUGUAAUGAUCUAUAAAGCAUUACUUCACAAACCUUUGGUAGUUUUUUUGAAAAAAAAAAAAUCUUUUCACAUAAUAUUUUAGAAAGGAAUAUGAUUGUUCCCAUGAUGAAUUUUGGAACUAUUACACCACCAGCGUUGUCAUGUUGAGUGUUUAAAGCUUGACACUCCCCAUGGUAUGUUGCAAUGGCCAAUUAUGAAGCAUUAUUGUUUUAAACUCAGGGAUUAUCCCAGCACCCUUUCAAGGCAAAAAGCAGUUUGAGGCUCUUGCAGGAGGUAAGUGAAGCUGUGAGGCCUGAUAGGCUGUCAAGUCACACACACAUCCUCUCACACACACACACACGCACACACACACACGCACACACACACUGAAAGCUCCUAUCACUGGGACGUGGAAAG
Molecule: long non-coding RNA, 1391 nt
Organism: Ictalurus punctatus (channel catfish)
Lineage: Eukaryota; Metazoa; Chordata; Actinopteri; Siluriformes; Ictaluridae
Source: Ensembl